CCUACGGGAGGCAGCAGUAGGGAAUCUUCCACAAUGGACGAAAGUCUGAUGGAGCAACGCCGCGUGAGUGAUGAAGGUUUUCGGAUCGUAAAACUCUGUUGUAAGGGAAGAACAAGUACGAGAGGGAAUGCUCGUACCUUGACGGUACCUUGCGAGAAAGCCACGGCUAACUACGUGCCAGCAGCCGCGGUAAUACGUAGGUGGCAAGCGUUGUCCGGAAUUAUUGGGCGUAAAGCGCGCGCAGGCGGCCUUUUAAGUCUGAUGUGAAAGCCCCCGGCUCAACCGGGGAGGGUCAUUGGAAACUGGAAGGCUUGAGUACAGAAGAGAAGAGUGGAAUUCCAUGUGUAGCGGUGAAAUGCGUAGAGAUGUGGAGGAACACCAGUGGCGAAGGCGACUCUUUGGUCUGUAACUGACGCUGAGGCGCGAAAGCGUGGGGAGCAAACAGGAUUAGAUACCCUGGUAGUCCACGCCGUAAACGAUGAGUGCUAGGUGUUGGGGGGUUUCCGCCCCUCAGUGCUGAAGCUAACGCAUUAAGCACUCCGCCUGGGGAUACGGCCGCAAGGCUGAACUCAAAUGAAUUGACCGGNUGAGAGNGCGAGGCGACACGAGGGAGGAGG
This 617-nucleotide ribosomal RNA is filed under the name uncultured bacterium. Its description in RNAcentral is "bacterial SSU rRNA". It matches the Rfam family "Bacterial small subunit ribosomal RNA", at positions 338 to 951 of the family's 1533-position model. The record is from RNAcentral.